RNAcentral lists this ribosomal RNA (1346 nucleotides) under uncultured bacterium. RNAcentral's name for it is "partial 16S ribosomal RNA". It matches the Rfam family "Bacterial small subunit ribosomal RNA", at positions 28 to 1381 of the family's 1533-position model. The record is from RNAcentral.
GACGAACGCUUGCGGCGUGCUUAACACAUGCAAGUCGAACGGAAAGGCCCUGCUUUUGUGGGGUGCUCGAGUGGCGAACGGGUGAGUAACACGUGAGUAACCUGCCCUUGACUUUGGGAUAACUUCAGGAAACUGGGGCUAAUACCGGAUAGGAGCUCCUGCUGCAUGGUGGGGGUUGGAAAGUUUCGGCGGUUGGGGAUGGACUCGCGGCUUAUCAGCUUGUUGGUGGGGUAGUGGCUUACCAAGGCUUUGACGGGUAGCCGGCCUGAGAGGGUGACCGGCCACAUUGGGACUGAGAUACGGCCCAGACUCCUACGGGAGGCAGCAGUGGGGAAUAUUGCACAAUGGGCGGAAGCCUGAUGCAGCAACGCCGCGUGCGGGAUGACGGCCUUCGGGUUGUAAACCGCUUUCGCCUGUGACGAAGCGUGAGUGACGGUAAUGGGUAAAGAAGCACCGGCUAACUACGUGCCAGCAGCCGCGGUGAUACGUAGGGUGCGAGCGUUGUCCGGAUUUAUUGGGCGUAAAGGGCUCGUAGGUGGUUGAUCGCGUCGGAAGUGUAAUCUUGGGGCUUAACCCUGAGCGUGCUUUCGAUACGGGUUGACUUGAGGAAGGUAGGGGAGAAUGGAAUUCCUGGUGGAGCGGUGGAAUGCGCAGAUAUCAGGAGGAACACCAGUGGCGAAGGCGGUUCUCUGGGCCUUUCCUGACGCUGAGGAGCGAAGGCGUGGGGAGCGAACAGGCUUAGAUACCCUGGUAGUCCACGCUGUAAACGGUGGGUACUAGGUGUGGGGUCCAUUCCACGGGUUCCGUGCCGUAGCUAACGCUUUAAGUACCCCGCCUGGGGAGUACGGCCGCAAGGCUAAAACUCAAAGGAAUUGACGGGGCCCCGCACAAGCGGCGGAGCAUGCGGAUUAAUUCGAUGCAACGCGUAGAACCUUACCUGGGUUUGACAUGGAUCGGGAGUGCUCAGAGAUGGGUGUGCCUCUUUUGGGGUCGGUUCACAGGUGGUGCAUGGCUGUCGUCAGCUCGUGUCGUGAGAUGUUGGGUUAAGUCCCGCAACGAGCGCAACCCUUGUUCACUGUUGCCAGCACGUUAUGGUGGGGACUCAGUGGAGACCGCCGGGGUCAACUCGGAGGAAGGUGGGGAUGACGUCAAAUCAUCAUGCCCCUUAUGUCCAGGGCUUCACGCAUGCUACAAUGGCUGGUACAGAGAGUGGCGAGCCUGUGAGGGUGAGCGAAUCUCGGAAAGCCGGUCUCAGUUCGGAUUGGGGUCUGCAACUCGACCUCAUGAAGUCGGAGUCGCUAGUAAUCGCAGAUCAGCAACGCUGCGGUGAAUACGUUCCCGGGGCU